Molecule: ribosomal RNA, 460 nt
Filed under: Streptococcus mitis
Lineage: Bacteria; Bacillati; Bacillota; Bacilli; Lactobacillales; Streptococcaceae
Description: bacterial SSU rRNA
Rfam family: Bacterial small subunit ribosomal RNA
Source: RNAcentral
GACGAACGCUGGCGGCGUGCCUAAUACAUGCAAGUAGAACGCUGAAGGAGGAGCUUGCUUCUCUGGAUGAGUUGCGAACGGGUGAGUAACGCGUAGGUAACCUGCCUGGUAGCGGGGGAUAACUAUUGGAAACGAUAGCUAAUACCGCAUAAGAGUAGAUGUUGCAUGACAUUUGCUUAAAAGGUGCAAUUGCAUCACUACCAGAUGGACUUGCGUUGUAUUAGCUAGUUGGUGAGGUAACGGCUCACCAAGGCGACGAUACAUAGCCGACCUGAGAGGGUGAUCGGCCACACUGGGACUGAGACACGGCCCAGACUCCUACGGGAGGCAGCAGUAGGGAAUCUUCGGCAAUGGACGGAAGUCUGACCGAGCAACGCCGCGUGAGUGAAGAAGGUUUUCGGAUCGUAAAGCUCUGUUGUAAGAGAAGAACGAGUGUGAGAGUGGAAAGUUCACACUGUGA